Molecule: ribosomal RNA, 301 nt
Filed under: uncultured bacterium
Lineage: Bacteria
Description: partial 16S ribosomal RNA
Rfam family: Bacterial small subunit ribosomal RNA
Source: RNAcentral
CAGCAGCCGCGGGAAUACAGAGGGUGCAAGCGUUAAUCGGAAUUACUGGGCGUAAAGCGCGCGUAGGUGGUUUGUUAAGUUGGAUGUGAAAUCCCCGGGCUCAACCUGGGAGCUGCAUCCAAAACUGGCAAGCUAGAGUAUGGUAGAGGGUGGUGGAAUUUCCUGUGUAGCGGUGAAAUGCGUAGAUAUAGGAAGGAACACCAGUGGCGAAGGCGACCACCUGGACUGAUACUGACACUGAGGUGCGAAAGCGUGGGGAGCAAACAGGAUUAGAUACCCGUGUAGUCCCUGUCUCUUAUAC